Molecule: long non-coding RNA, 319 nt
Filed under: Malus domestica (apple)
Lineage: Eukaryota; Viridiplantae; Streptophyta; Magnoliopsida; Rosales; Rosaceae
Description: long non-coding RNA (MDOM_LNC009394)
Source: RNAcentral
CUGGGUUUGUUUUGUCGAUUUCAUCAUCAUGUCCACCGAUGUGCAUUUGCAAUUUGAAACGCAUAAAAGGUUUCUGCCAUACUAUAUGUGCAAUGUCUGCUUCUGGAAACACGAUCUGAAGAAUAUGCAAUCUUCGUUUGAUUAGCCUAAUCAACUCUCUUCGUUCAAUUAGCCUAAUCAACUCCCUACGUAUUUUCUGAACUUUUGUUCAGAUAGUCUGCUGUAAAAUUGGUAAUUGUUGUUUUAGCAUUUCUAUCUUUUUAUUUUUUGUUAGAAAUCCAAAAUUAACAACCCAGUUUUCUGGGACAUAGCAGAAUGG